Molecule: unclassified non-coding RNA, 24 nt
Filed under: Mus musculus (house mouse)
Lineage: Eukaryota; Metazoa; Chordata; Mammalia; Rodentia; Muridae
Description: oocyte_clustered_small_RNA1623
Source: RNAcentral
UACCAUUGUCUUGCUCCAUCCUUA